GCGCGGGUGGCGGAAUAGGUAGACGCACUGGAUUUAGGUUCCAGCGCCGCAAAGCGUGCGGGUUCGAGUCCCGCCUCGCGCACCA
RNAcentral lists this transfer RNA (85 nucleotides) under Zoogloeaceae bacterium. RNAcentral describes it as "tRNA-Leu". It matches the Rfam family "tRNA". Rfam says of the family: Transfer RNA (tRNA) molecules are approximately 80 nucleotides in length. Their secondary structure includes four short double-helical elements and three loops (D, anti-codon, and T loops). Further hydrogen bonds mediate the characteristic L-shaped molecular structure. tRNAs have two regions of fundamental functional importance: the anti-codon, which is responsible for specific mRNA codon recognition, and the 3' end, to which the tRNAs corresponding amino acid is attached (by aminoacyl-tRNA synthetases). tRNAs cope with the degeneracy of the genetic code in two manners: having more than one tRNA (with a specific anti-codon) for a particular amino acid; and 'wobble' base-pairing, i.e. permitting non-standard base-pairing at the 3rd anti-codon position. Lineage: Bacteria; Pseudomonadati; Pseudomonadota; Betaproteobacteria; Rhodocyclales; Zoogloeaceae. The record is from RNAcentral.